AAAAUCGUGCAAAUUCAAAAUAUUGCAGGGGACGCGUAGGCCU
Propionibacterium sp. DORA_15 is the source of this 43-nucleotide non-coding RNA. Lineage: Bacteria; Bacillati; Actinomycetota; Actinomycetes; Propionibacteriales; Propionibacteriaceae. The record is from Rfam.